GACGAACGCUGGCGGCGUGCUUAACACAUGCAAGUCGAACGGAAAGGCCCUGCUUUUGUGGGGUGCUCGAGUGGCGAACGGGUGAGUAACACGUGAGUAACCUGCCCUUGACUUUGGGAUAACUUCAGGAAACUGGGGCUAAUACCGGAUAUGAGCUCCUGCUGCAUGGUGGGGGUUGGAAAGUUUCGGCGGUUGGGGAUGGACUCGCGGUUUAUCAGCUUGUUGGUGGGGUAGUGGCUUACCAAGGCUUUGACGGGUAGCCGGCCUGAGAGGGUGACCGGCCACAUUGGGACUGAGGUGGGGGCAGGACGGCUACGGGGGGCAGCAGUGGGAGAUAGUGCGCGAUGGGCGGAAGGCUGAUGCAGGAACGCCGCGUGGGGGAUGACGGCCUUCGGGUUGGAAACCGGGUUCGCCUGGGACGAAGAGUGAGUGACGGUAAUGGGUAAGGAAGCAACGGCUAACUACGUG
Molecule: ribosomal RNA, 468 nt
Filed under: uncultured bacterium
Lineage: Bacteria
Description: partial 16S ribosomal RNA
Rfam family: Bacterial small subunit ribosomal RNA
Source: RNAcentral